Long non-coding RNA from Trichosurus vulpecula (common brushtail), 797 nucleotides. RefSeq lists it as uncharacterized. The record is from RefSeq and is a predicted model, not a curated record. The transcript has 5 exons. NCBI's taxonomy places the organism in Eukaryota, Metazoa, Chordata, Mammalia, Diprotodontia, Phalangeridae.
AAGACGAGAGCAACAUGGCGGAGACUCCACUCCGGCCGGGCCUGGGAGAGGGUCAGGCCGGGGCGGGAUCAGGCCUUAGCAACCGACAUCAGUCCUUAGCAACCGCUGCCGGACCUUUUAUACCACCCUGCAGCUUCUUUAAGCCCGGAGACUACAUUUCCCAGAGAGCCGCGCGGGGCCAGGAUGUACGUAACGCGCAGGCGCCCGGGCAUUUCUGCGUUAUAUAAGGAAGGUUCGCGGCCUCUCUUCCUCUUUUUCGCCCCUGCCACUUGCGGGAUUCGUUUUUCUCGUCCUCCAUCCGCAGCCAUCGUGGUCCUGGAAUGCCGCUUAUUGGAUUGCUUCUGGAAGGAGGAGGGAGGCAUGUUACAGGGAUUUUGGAGACCUGGAUGUGUAGGCUCCAUGCCCCUAUGUUGGCUUCUUUUCUGAUGUCAUCAGACUUGCUAUGCUGCAUUCCAGCCACUUGAUUUGGAUCAGAUUGUUGGAGUUCCCUAACAGUCCCUGGGAAGAUUGGCUUGCUCUUGCAAUGAGCAGAAGGUUAGGAUUCCAGUGAUGUCUAAUACCAUACAGACCCAAAGGACCUCAAAGGACCCAGCUCUUAUUAAAGGAAUGUAAAACUGGUGGAUGACUAAGUGGAAUGAAGUGAAGCUUGGAGACUUGAAAAUUUUGAAGUGUGGCCUUAGAUGAGGAGAGGCAGCCUUUGUUUGUGAUCAAGAAACAUGGACUUGACUGUUCCAGCUGUUAUUAGGAUAAAAUAGUCUUGUUUUACAUUUUGCAAAUAAAAAAGUAUUUGACCAUCA